UACGUAGGGUGCAAGCGUUGUCCGGAAUUAUUGGGCGUAAAGAGCUCGUAGGCGGUUUGUCGCGUCUGCUGUGAAAACCCGAGGCUCAACCUCGGGCCUGCAGUGGGUACGGGCAGACUAGAGUGCGGUAGGGGAGAUUGGAAUUCCUGGUGUAGCGGUGGAAUGCGCAGAUAUCAGGAGGAACACCGGUGGCGAAGGCGGCCCGCUGGGCAACUGCUGACACUGAGGCGCGACAGCGUGGGGAGCAAACAGG
RNAcentral lists this ribosomal RNA (253 nucleotides) under uncultured bacterium. RNAcentral's name for it is "partial 16S ribosomal RNA". It matches the Rfam family "Bacterial small subunit ribosomal RNA", at positions 524 to 776 of the family's 1533-position model. The record is from RNAcentral.